AAGCAAUGCAUGCUAUUGACCUAGUGGUUUGGAGAACUAGAAACUGAGGAUGCUCCUCAGUCCUCAGGCAAUCUUUGAAAGGAACUAAAAUUGAAAGCAUACAGAGAGGCAGAAAGAGCUGGCCCAAAAAGUGACACUCAGUGGUGGUCUUUUCUCCUUUCAGUUCUUAAUAAAGGGAAAGCGCGGGUAGGGGGUGGGAAACCAAUACAAGCAGAGCAAAUAAUAUAAAGCUGCAUUAUAGAUGCUCACUAGCUGUUCUACAUCCUUUGCGUCUCAAUUUCCUCAUCUUUUAUUAAGCAGCUUGCAUUAAGUUAAGCUCUAAGAUCCUUUUCAAGUUUAAUAUAUGAUGACGGGCAUCAUAGUUUUGGGGCUGUCCAACAAAGGAUGUGUAUCAUAACUUAAUCAAGCAGCGACGGCCUUUGUUGUCCACCAUCACAGACUCAUCAUAAACCACCACCAGUUUUUCCAAUAUUAUCUAAACAUUGGAAAGAGAACUAUGAAAAGACAGAUAACUACGCUGCUUUUUGGACGACAAACUAACAAAUAUCUUAUAUUUUAUAUUAAAUAUCUUAUAUUAAAUAUCUUAUAUUUUAUAUAAGAUAUAAAAUAUUUAUAUAUAAACAUGUAAGAAAUAAAAAAUAUAUAAAUAUAUAAGAUAUAUAAGAUAUAAAAUAUUUAUAUAUAAAUAUAUGAAAUUAUAUAUCUUAUAUAUCUUGUAUAUUUCAUAUAAUAUAUAUUUCUAUAUUAUAUUAUAUUACAAUAUUAUAUAUUAAAAUAUAGUAAUAUAUAAUAUAUUAUAGUAUAUAUCAUAUAUAGUAUAUAAUAUAUAAUACAUUAUAGGAGUAAUAUAUAUAAUAUAUUUUAACAUAAUAUAUAAAUAUAUCAUAUAUGAUUAUAUAUAAAUAUUAUAAUUAUAUAUUAUAAUACAUAAAUAUAAUAUAUUAUAUAUAUUAUAAUACAUAAAUAUAAUAUAUUAUAUAUAUUAUAAUACAUAAAUAUAAUAUAUUAUAUAUAUUAUAAUACAUAAAUAUAAUAUAUUAUAUAUAUUAUAAUACAUAAAUAUAAUAUAUUAUAUAUAUUAUAAUACAUAAAUAUAAUAUAUUAUAUAUAUUAUGGAAGAAACA
Molecule: long non-coding RNA, 1124 nt
Filed under: Homo sapiens (human)
Lineage: Eukaryota; Metazoa; Chordata; Mammalia; Primates; Hominidae
Description: non-protein coding lnc-ITGB8-6:2
Source: RNAcentral